RNAcentral lists this ribosomal RNA (612 nucleotides) under uncultured bacterium. RNAcentral's name for it is "bacterial SSU rRNA". The stretch from base 1 to 520 matches the Rfam family "Bacterial small subunit ribosomal RNA", at positions 338 to 873 of the family's 1533-position model. The record is from RNAcentral.
CCUACGGGAGGCAGCAGUAAGGAAUCUUCCACAAUGGACGAAAGUCUGAUGGAGCAACGCCGCGUGCAGGAUGAAGGCUUUCGGGUCGUAAACUGCUUUUAUAUGGGAAGAUUAUGACGGUACCAUAUGAAUAAGGACCGGCUAACUACGUGCCAGCAGCCGCGGUAAUACGUAGGGUCCAAGCGAUAUCCGGAAUUACUGGGCGUAAAGCGUGUGUAGGUGGAUUAAUAAGUGUGAUGCGAAAUCCGGCGGCUCAACCGUUUGGACUGUGUCGCAUACUGUUAGUCUAGAGGACGGCAGAGGUAAGUGGAAUUACGGGUGUAGCAGUGAAAUGCGUAGAUAUCCGUAGGAACACCAAUGGCGAAGGCAGCUUACUGGGCCACACCUGACACUGAGACACGAAAGCGUGGGGAGCGAACAGGAUUAGAUACCCUGGUAGUCCACGCCGUAAACGAUGCAUACUAUUAGUAUGGGGUAUCGACCCCCUGUGCUGAGAAGCUAACGCGAUAAGUAUGCCGCCGUGGGGAGGUACGAGCGCGACGACGUUAAACCUAACAACUAGUAAGUUAGUACGGCGUGAGACGUGCCGACGGACGACGACGAGGGAGGAGG